AGAUCAUGUGAUCUGACUGUGCUAAGGUAGCAUAAUAAUUAGUUACUUAAUUGGUUUCUGGAAUGAAAGGCUCAACAAGAGACACCCUCUCUCUUCCCUCUUUGAAAUUGAUCUGUAGGUAAAAAAGCCUAUAUUUUCUAGGAGGACGACAAGACCCUAAAACCUCUGUAGAUUAUACCAUCUCUUCACUGGGGCGGUGGACCAUACUAGCAUGGUUUAUAACAACAUAUUGUAUGAUGUUAAACACCCUGGCAAGUGCCCAAAAAGGUACUUUAGGGAUAACAGCACAACUUUUAUUGAGAGUAAACUUAUCAAUAUAAAAGACUGUGACCUCGAUGUUGAAUUGAUAUUACGGCACUGAGCAACA
RNAcentral lists this ribosomal RNA (367 nucleotides) under Porcellio sp. RNAcentral's name for it is "partial large subunit ribosomal RNA". It matches the Rfam family "Bacterial large subunit ribosomal RNA", at positions 1916 to 2560 of the family's 2925-position model. The record is from RNAcentral. Lineage: Eukaryota; Metazoa; Arthropoda; Malacostraca; Isopoda; Porcellionidae.